Molecule: ribosomal RNA, 253 nt
Filed under: uncultured bacterium
Lineage: Bacteria
Description: partial 16S ribosomal RNA
Rfam family: Bacterial small subunit ribosomal RNA
Source: RNAcentral
UACGAAGGUCCCAAGCGUUGUUCGGAAUCACUGGGCUUAAAGGGCGCGUAGGCGGGUUUUCAAGUCUGUGGUGAAAGCCUCCAGCUUAACUGGAGAAGUGCCGUGGAUACUGGAGACCUCGAGGAGGGUAGGGGCAUCUGGAACAGCCGGUGGAGCGGUGAAAUGCGUUGAUAUCGGCUGGAACUCCGAUGGCGAAGGCAAGGUGCUGGACCCUCUCUGACGCUGAGGCGCGAAAGCCAGGGGAGCGGACGGG